Molecule: long non-coding RNA, 715 nt
Organism: Oncorhynchus tshawytscha (Chinook salmon)
Lineage: Eukaryota; Metazoa; Chordata; Actinopteri; Salmoniformes; Salmonidae
Source: Ensembl
AAGAAUGUUAAGGAAUCAACCUUCAGAUUGUAUCACUAAAGAGCAAGGUUGACCAAGCUGGAGCUGUGUGCUCUCUGACAUACUCCAUGCUACACCACACUUCACACUACUGCAUCCCAGCGGUCCUUCCAUAUCUUCAACUGGAAAUCAGACAGCAAGGUGUAACAGUCAACAAUGGACCUGCAACACGUCAACCGGAUGAAAUAGGAAAUAGGCUUACCGCAGGCUACAGCGACCACCUGCAACCCACUUUCUCCUUCACAAGGGGCCUUUAGCACCAGGGGAGAGAUGAGAGAGAGAAGAGAAUAACAUGAGUGGAGGAGAAAGCACAUCAUCAUUUAGGACACGUUUCAGGAUUGUCUUUAUUAUGUUGCCAUUGGACCAACAACUUCAUCAACCAAUCAGGCAUUGUGCGACCUUCUGACAUCAUCAAAACGUGCAUGCAGAGUCCUGCCUGCUCCGCCGUGCUAAAGCAAAAUCCUGCCUAUCCCGCAACGACAGCAGCAUUGUUUGCACUGCUUUUCAAGAGUCUGGCGUAACCCAACUAUUAGAGCCAGAGGAUCUCUUUCGGCUGCUGCUGACAACAACUGCAUGAACCAGCCAGGCAACAACCCAUACUGCAGCCUACUGUUCCUUACAGAAGUCAGUCAGAGUUGGUACCAAGAUUGACAUGGCCAUUAUUCCCCCCAAAAAUGCCUCCUUGGCCACCAAUCCC